RNAcentral lists this transfer RNA (86 nucleotides) under bacterium K02(2017). It matches the Rfam family "tRNA". Rfam says of the family: Transfer RNA (tRNA) molecules are approximately 80 nucleotides in length. The record is from Rfam by way of RNAcentral.
GCCCGGGUGGUGGAAUUGGUAGACACAAGGGACUUAAAAUCCCUCGGUAAUUUAUUGCUGUGCCGGUUCAAGUCCGGCCCCGGGCA